This 141-nucleotide unclassified non-coding RNA is filed under the name uncultured Dothideomycetes. Its description in RNAcentral is "sequence contains ITS2". The record is from RNAcentral. Lineage: Eukaryota; Fungi; Ascomycota; Dothideomycetes.
AAAACCAUCAAGCCUGGCUUGGUCUUGGGCGCGGUCUCGGGACCCGCCCGCAACCCGUCGGCGGUGCCGGCCCGGCCCUGAGCGUAGCAAGACUCUCGCUCGGGGGCCGCGGCGGCGCCAGCCGGGAGCACACACCUCAAG